This 253-nucleotide ribosomal RNA is filed under the name uncultured prokaryote. RNAcentral's name for it is "partial 16S ribosomal RNA". It matches the Rfam family "Bacterial small subunit ribosomal RNA", at positions 525 to 777 of the family's 1533-position model. The record is from RNAcentral.
ACGUAGGGGGCAAGCGUUGUCCGGAAUCAUUGGGCGUAAAGAGCGUGUAGGCGGUCCGAUAAGUCCGCUCUGAAAGCCCGGGGCUCAACCCCGGGAGGCGGGCGGAUACUGUCGGGCUAGAGUCCGGAAGAGGCAAGUGGAAUUCCUGGUGUAGCGGUGAAAUGCGCAGAUAUCAGGAGGAACACCGAUGGCGAAGGCAGCUUGCUGGGACGGUACUGACGCUGAGACGCGAAAGCGUGGGGAGCAAACAGGA